Molecule: ribosomal RNA, 254 nt
Filed under: uncultured bacterium
Lineage: Bacteria
Description: partial 16S ribosomal RNA
Rfam family: Bacterial small subunit ribosomal RNA
Source: RNAcentral
UACGGGGGGGGGCAAGCGUUGUUCGGAAUUACUGGGCGUAAAGGGUUUGUAGGUGGCUCGCUAAGUCAGACGUGAAAUCCCUCAGCUUAACUGGGGAACUGCGUCUGAAACUGAUGAGCUUGAGUGCAGGAGAGGAACGCGGAAUUCCAGGUGUAGCGGUGAAAUGCGUAGAUAUGUGGAGGAAUACCGAUGGCGAAGGCAGCCUCCUGGGCCAACACUGACGCUCAUGCACGAAAGCGUGGGGAGCAAACAGG